GAUGAACGCUGGCGGCGUGCCUAAUACAUGCAAGUCGAGCGAACGGACGAGAAGCUUGCUUCUCUGAUGUUAGCGGCGGACGGGUGAGUAACACGUGGAUAACCUACCUAUAAGACUGGGAUAACUUCGGGAAACCGGAGCUAAUACCGGAUAAUAUUUUGAACCGCAUGGUUCACAAGUGAAAGACGGUCUUGCUGUCACUUAUAGAUGGAUCCGCGCUGCAUUAGCUAGUUGGUAGGGUAACGGCUUACCAAGGCGACGAUGCAUAGCCGACCUGAGAGGGUGAUCGGCCACACUGGAACUGAGACACGGUCCAGACUCCUACGGGAGGCAGCAGUAGGGAAUCUUCGACAAUGGGCGAAAGCCUGACGGAGCAACGCCGCGUGAGUGAUGAAGGUCUUCGGAUCGUAAAGCUCUGUUAUUAGGGAAGAACAUAUGUGUACGUAACUGUGCACAUCUUGACGGUACCUGAUCAGAAAGCCACGGCUAACUACGUG
This 497-nucleotide ribosomal RNA is filed under the name uncultured bacterium. RNAcentral's name for it is "partial 16S ribosomal RNA". It matches the Rfam family "Bacterial small subunit ribosomal RNA", at positions 28 to 507 of the family's 1533-position model. The record is from RNAcentral.